Molecule: long non-coding RNA, 571 nt
Filed under: Bos indicus x Bos taurus (hybrid cattle)
Lineage: Eukaryota; Metazoa; Chordata; Mammalia; Artiodactyla; Bovidae
Description: lncRNA (ENSBIXG00005017531.1)
Source: RNAcentral
CUUGUCUCUGUCCUGGCUGGGCUGUCCAGUCUUUGCACCUUUGCUCUGAAAGACAAUGGGAACCAAAGGCCACUGUCACCAUGGCAUAUGAGCAUUGGCCCCAGUAGGUCUGCAUCUUUUAAUGGUGGGUGGCAGUGGGUGGUACACUGGGAGGCCCAGGAAGUAGGAAAUCCUCUUCAGCAUCCAGGGGAAAUAUGCUCAGAACAGUGUCCGGUCUGUGGUAACUACAGGGGAGCUGUUAGCUGUCAUCCUUGCCCCCAGCCCAGCUCUGAGGUCAAAAGGGCAGAACUUCCUGUCGGAAUUUUAAAGCCUCUGUCGCCUUGAUUUUGUUCCUGGCUCAAUGGAGAUGAAUUCCAAGUUGAAGACAAACAAUUGUGCCUUGUGAACAGUCGUCCAUGUGUUGAAAAGACUCUAAGAGUGUUUUUUUUUUUUUUCCAAACCUGUCUCAGGGAAAAUUCCCCAUGGGGGAGGAAGGGAGAGUAAAAUCCAUGCUAGAAAGAGCAACUUCUGAUGACUCUGAGAAUGUGAUUUUCUAAAUAAAUUCAUGGAAGUCAAAAGUGUCUAAUAAUAA